AGAGAUGAAAUUAACAUAAAUUUGAAAAUCAUAUUCAUGCAGAGCAAGAAAAGUUCAAUGUCUUAAGUACACUUUGACAAUGCCAGGAGAACUGGGUAAAAGAGAUGCAUAAUAAUACAGCACAAAAGCAACCUAACCAAAUACCUGCAAGCUGCCCAUUAACAAAAAUGCAAACAAAAUCGUGCAUGCUAUCAAAAUAUCAAUCAUUGAACUAACAUCCUUUUGCUUCCAAAAUGAGAUGUCAUCGUCAGAAAUAUAUAUCCUGCAUUCGCCAGAGAUAAAUAAAUAGAGUAACUCAUCACUGUUUCAGUUUGCAACCAAUUAUAAAUGUAUGAAUCUAUUUGUAACCAAAUCUUCCAGUGUUUUUGGUAUAUGUGUUGUGUGGCUAUUCACUUGUUAAAGGAAAAGAAAAAAUGAGUCAGAUAAUCGGGAGACAACAGAACAUUCAGAGAAUCAUGUUAUUGCGUGGACAAUCAUUCAUAUUGUCGCCCACCAAACAAUUAAUCUCAAAAGCCAAAAGUACCAAAAGGUAUGCAGAUGCUCAUCCAAAGAGGCUUGACGUUGUUUUUUUUUUUUUUUUGGUAAAUAAUUUCAUUUUAUUACCAAAGUGAACAUUACAAAGCAAUCUUCCAGCAGCUGGUAACACAGCCUGGGAGCAAUACUAUCGCCUCACUUCUAUACCUUCACUACUAAUCUGACUAUCACAUUUGUGGAUAAUAGUUCAGAGUAGGCACCACACUAGCUAACUUCGGCUUUGAACUAGCAAGUAAUAUCAUUUCCUGAAUUACUAUCCUUACUAUGCUAUCAGGCUGUACAGUGGUGUUCCUAAAUAUUCUGCUAUUUCUCUCAUGCCAAAUGUAGUAAACGCAAGCAGCCAACAUCAUCCUGAACACAUGAGCACCAGCUGAUUGCCCUCUAAUGUUUGCAACACUCCAGUUUAUUUCACUACUCCAUGUCAUAGCAACUCUGUGUAUCUUCACCCAUCUCAACAACGCAUUCCACAUUGCAGCAGCAUACUGACACUCGAAAAACAAGUGUUCAACUGUCUCAUCUUCUUUCCUGCAUAGCACACAUUGAGCUUGCACCUGCAUCUUCCACUUGGUUAGUCUAUCUUUGGUGUACAACCUGUUCAUAAUAGCCAACCUUAGAAUGAAGAUCCAUUUAGGAGCCCCAUAGUUGUUACAAACUAAUCUUCUCCAUUCCACCUUUUGGAAGCACCCCAUCAGUCAUUUAUACAUGUAGCUUGUACGGAACUGGUGCAUAUCUUCAAGGUCUUUUAUUGUAUACCCUGCUGCCAGCCCGUAUUUGUGAGCCUUGAAAAUUUUCUGCAAUAUCCAGGAAGCCUGCCGAGGCAUCACCUCUUCAAUUAGCUCAUUCUUUAUGUAAUAAGUAUGCACCCAAUGCACCCACAUUUUAUCUUUUUUCGGGCAUAGGUUCCAUAGUAGUUUCAGAAUAGCAGCCUUGUUCCAGGUAGUCAUAUCAAUUAUGUUUACACCUCCACAAGUCUUGGAUUUGCACAAAUUCUCCCAUGCUAUAAGUGCCUUUUUGGAUAUCUCAUCUGUUCCUGUCCAUAAAAAUCUUCUGCAUAAGCUUUCCAUGACCUGGAUAACACCUUUAGGAAGCACAAACACUUGUGACCAAUAGGUUUGGAUUGAGAAUAAGACACCUUUGAUCAGCUGAAGUCUACCAGCGUAUGACAAAUACUUAGUGGUCCAGGAUGUAAUCCGGCUCAUAAUCUUCUCAAUCAAUGGCUGACACUCAAUGAUGGCUAUCCUUUUUGUACUGAAAGGAACUCCAAGUUAUUUAAAUGGCAUGGUACCAGCGUUGAAGCCUAAGACUUCUAGGAUCUGCUGUUGUAUAUUUCUUGGCACUCCCCCAAAGUAGACAGAGCUCUUAUCAGCAUCUGCUUGAAUCCCGAAGCCAUAGAAAACUUUGUGUAGCAAGUAAAUAAUAGUUCAACAGAUUUCACAUCACCUUUGCAAAACAACAGAAGAUCAUCUGCAAAUCCAAGUUGAAUCAGAUUCACUUUUGCACACUUUGGGUGGAACUUGAAUUCCUUUUGCAAUCUCAGACCCUUCAACAAUCUUGUGAGAUAUUCCAUUACGAUAACAAAAAGGUAAGGGGACAUAGGGUCCCCUUGCCUCGAUCCUCUUUUAGCAGGGAAUGGAGUAGAUGAGCUUCCAUUGAUCACCACAGAAUAUGAAACAGUACUUAUGCAUUGCAUAAUCCAAUUCACAAAUAUUUCAGGGAAGUUCAGCCCUUUCAGCAUCUGCUCUAUAAAUGGCCACUCCAUAGAAUCGUACGCUUUUUGAAUAUCAAUCUUUAGCAUGCACCUUGGGGAAAUGCCUUUCCUACCAUAUCCUUUGACCAUUUCAUGGCUUAAUUUAUGUUGUCUGUUAUCACUCUACCCGGUACAAAAGCAGCCAGGCAAGGGUCAAUCAAAUUAUCCAUCACCUGUUUCAUCCUGGAAGUGAGUACUUUUGAGCUAAUUUUGUACAAGGUAGUACAGCAGGAGAUUGGCCUAAACUCUUUAACUGUGUUAGGAUUUUUAACCUUUGGAAUCAAGAUCACACUGGUACAGUUCACUGGUUUAAACAUUAUCCCACCAUUAAAAAAUUCAAGUAUAGCGUCAGUAACUUCGGUACCUAGCACAGGCCAAGCUUUUUGGAAAAAACAUGCAUUCAUACCAUCACAACCUGGUGCUUUAUUCCCAUCUAUAGCAUUCAGGGCUUCUAAUACUUCCUGUCUAGUGACAGGCUUGAUUAACUCCAGUUGUUGAUCCCUGCUAAUCAUAAUCCCAUUUCUGAUUACUGUAGGAUCAAGUGUAGGUACCAUGCUGGCUGCAGUACCCAGAAGAGUAAUGUAAAAUUCAGUAAUCUCUCUUUGAAUAGCAUCUUGGGAGUGCAGCAUGUUGCCUUUUAAGGAUACUAAGUUCUUGAUUUUGCUUUGAGCUUGUCUACCCUUUAAACUUGCAAAGAAAUAUUUUGUAUUUGCAUCUCCUACUCUGAGCCAAAUCAUCCUGGACUUUUGUUGCAGAAUCUUCUCCUCUAUAAGACACCACUGUUCGAGCUUCAUUUUAAUCAGCUUUUUCUUCAAACAGUUCAGGAAAACUGGGGUGCUCAGCUAGCACAUUGAAGAAUUUGAAUGCCAUUUUUCCAGGUGGUUUGCUGCUGUCUACUUCAAUACCUAUUGGAGAAUGGUCUGAGCAUCUUGGGUCCAUCACAAUAGCUUCAACAUUAGGGAAUCUCUGCACCCAUUCAGCAUUAACUAUGGCUCUAUCUAACUUGCUAAAAACAUGUCCAUUAGUCCAUGUAUACCUCCUCCCCACUGACCACAGCUCUGUAAGUUUAUGGUCUCCUAGGAACUGCGCAAAAUCUUUAAUUUCAUUAUCUGUUACUGGACUUCCCUUAAUCCUAUCAUGAUGUUCCAGUAUUGUAUUAUAGUCACCUAUUAGUAUCCAAGGCUAGUGUACACCAGAUGCUAUGGUGCCAAGAGCAGGCCAAAGCUUACCCCUAUCAGCAAUUGAGUGUAACCCAUAUAUGGCUGUAAACAUAAUCUUCUCAUUAUUUAGCUCCACUUUUCCAUGUAUCUCAAAA
Molecule: long non-coding RNA, 3596 nt
Organism: Capsicum annuum
Lineage: Eukaryota; Viridiplantae; Streptophyta; Magnoliopsida; Solanales; Solanaceae
Exons: 2
Source: RefSeq, a predicted model, not a curated record